RNAcentral lists this ribosomal RNA (253 nucleotides) under uncultured bacterium. RNAcentral describes it as "partial 16S ribosomal RNA". It matches the Rfam family "Bacterial small subunit ribosomal RNA", at positions 524 to 776 of the family's 1533-position model. The record is from RNAcentral.
UACGUAGGGGGCUAGCGUUGUCCGGAUUUAUUGGGCGUAAAGAGCGUGUAGGCGGCCAGGUAGGUCUGGUGUGAAAACUCGAGGCUUAACCUCGAGAUGUCAUCGGAAACCAUCUGGCUAGAGUCCGGAAGAGGAGAGUGGAAUUCCUGGUGUAGCGGUGAAAUGCGCAGAUAUCAGGAAGAACACCAAUGGCGAAAGCAGCUCUCUGGGACGGUACCGACGCUGAGACGCGAAAGCGUGGGGAGCGAACAGG